ACCUGGUCGGCUCAGUCGGUAGAACGUGGGACUCUUGAUCUCGGGGUCGUGAGCUCGAGCCCCACACUGGGUG
RNAcentral lists this transfer RNA (73 nucleotides) under Ailuropoda melanoleuca (giant panda). It matches the Rfam family "tRNA". From Rfam's summary of the family: Transfer RNA (tRNA) molecules are approximately 80 nucleotides in length. Their secondary structure includes four short double-helical elements and three loops (D, anti-codon, and T loops). Lineage: Eukaryota; Metazoa; Chordata; Mammalia; Carnivora; Ursidae. The record is from Rfam by way of RNAcentral.